GUGGGCUCUUCCCUGGAGCGGCGGGGAGAGGCUGGGCCCGCAGGGCCUUGUCCUUCAAGGAGCAGAGGAGGUGGGGGGGGCUCAGGGUCCGAGGUGACCCCUCCCCCGCACCAUAAACAAACAGACAAACAAACAGCGGUGGCUCGAGAAUUUAUACACGGAAGGGACUUGGGGCGCUCUUGCUGAAGGCAAGCUGGACCUGUGGAAGGUGCGUUUGCGUGGCAGGCACAUUUGGCCUGGGAGUAGGGGACCAGGGUCACGCACCUCUACUGUCCCUGGGUUGCACUGAGCUUCUUAACACGCCUAGACCCCUCCUUGGAGCUCCAGGCUCCAAUACCCAGCUUCCUGCUUGAUGUCUCUGUGUCCAAAAACAUCUCAAGUGCAUCAGAUCAUAGCUGAGGCUCGUGAAUCCAGUCCAAGCCUCUCCAUCGCUCGUCGUUUCAUCUCCACACAGGGUCCUCCAAUCCUCUACAUGCACUGAUCAACACAAGUUUGGGGACGGCCUGACCCCUGGCUGUCUCUUAUCAGACAAGCCCGCAGUGAAAACCUGUGGUUUGAUUUCCAGCAGAAAUCUCCAAUAUGUCUACCUCCUUCCCCCUCGGCUUCCUCCCCUCCAAGCCACUGCCAAGUUUCCCUGGCUUACUGCAACAGCCUUUGGACCAGUUCACCCAGGUUUAUUCUUACCCGCCAAGAUCUGCUCUCCAUCCACCAGCAGAACCAACUGAAACACGAGGAGCCACUAUUCCAGCACUCCAGCGGUUCUCCCUCAGUCCAAGUGUGAUUCUGAACUUCUCUCCUGCACUGCAGGCCCCUGCCUCCUUGUCCACUCAGACCCCUCUCGCUGCCCCUCCUCAGCAUUCUCCAGCCGAAGAGCCUUCGGCCUGUUCUGCAAGCAUUCUCAGUUCUUGAUGCCUCCCGGGCUGUGCAGACCUCACCUCCAACCCCGAAGGGUGAGUGCAGACCACUCUUCCACUGCUUCAGUCUGCUGGCUGGAAUUGCCUGAGUAUUGUCCACGUCCCCUGCAAGGCUGCAGAGCGAGAGAUCACCGCAAUGUGCAUGCUACCUAAGAAAUCCAUGCUGGGCCAGGAUUUAGCUCAGUGGUUUCGCUGCCUGCUUCGCAAUUGCAAGGACUCGAGUUCAAUCCCCCGUACCAAAAAAAAAAAAGAAAUCCAUGCUGAACGACAGGGCAGAUGCACAGGGAUGAGACAUCUUCCAGCUCUCAGCGAACCAGGCCCAAACUGCGCACCAUGAGAAGAUACUCCGAGGAGCCAGGUUGCUCAGCCGCUCCCUUGGUCUUAUCCCUUUGUUUUAAAAAUGUAUUUCUCUGGGUAUAUCUUAGCAGAAGAGCCUGUGCCUAGCACGGGCGCGGCCUUGGGCUUGACCCCCGACACACACAAACACAUACGGAAAAGGACAUGCAUAGAACUUUAGUGCAUACAUACGUAUUUUAAUGUGUUCUUUAGCAUAGGGAGCAUAGGUUCACAGCAUACAAUUUAAAAGGCACAAAAGAAUGUAUAUUGAGAACUCUUUCGGAUUCCUGCUCUUUCCUGCCCCACAGCAACCCCCUCAGAGGCACCAUAGUUACAAUUUAUUUUCUUGUAAGCCUUCUGGAAAUAAUUUAUGCACAAAUAAAUACAUAAAAGCUCUUGCCCUCCUGGCUCAAAUGGCAGCAUUCCACACAUCCUGCUCUGCACCUUCGUUCUUUAAGUUAAAAGGAGAUUGUGAAGCUGAUAAUCUACAUGUGCAUCAAGAGCCCCCUUUCUUUUUUGUGGCUUCGUACUAUUUCAUCAUAGGAAGUCAUGUCAUGACUGAUUUAAUACCCUCACACAUGGAUGUUUCAGUUGUUCCCAUCUUUUGGUGCAUGGUGCAAUGAAGAAUCUUGAAUUUAGCAGGACACUUUGGUGCUUGCCUGUAAUCCCAGCAUUGGGAGGAAGACUGAGGCAGGAGGAUGGAGCUCAAGGCUGGCCUGGGCUGUGUAGUGAGACCCUGUCUCAAAAAAUAUGAUUAAACACAAACAAAAUUUACACAAUUUUUUGUGCACGUGCUACAGAUGGAACCCAUGGAGGUGUGCAUGCUAAGCACUGGCUCUACUACUGAGGCACUCCCAGCCUCGGCCGUUUACACACUGACAGUGCUGAGCCUGUCUGCAUUGUGGCAGCCUCUGUUAGGCCCCAGCAUUAGUGAGGAUAAGCUAGUGGCAGGCCCAGUUGGGGCCCUCGGGGGACUCAAUGAAUCACCCCUCUGGCUGCUGCAGCUCCUGGAUUAUAGACAUGGAAACAGGGAGGGCACACAGAGCAGCAGAGGUGAGUCUGAGGUGCUCCAGGAAGACCCUAGGAACGGGCCAGGAUGCAGAGGGCACCGGCAGGCGACUCCCGGCUGCCAAGGUGCAACCUGGCGGCCGGCAGAGGUGGAGGGCUAGGGGCUGCUCUGCAGGCGGGAAGGCCUGGUGAGGACCUGG
Molecule: long non-coding RNA, 2458 nt
Organism: Heterocephalus glaber (naked mole-rat)
Lineage: Eukaryota; Metazoa; Chordata; Mammalia; Rodentia; Bathyergidae
Source: Ensembl